AUCCAGUUGACGAGUCCCAAAUAGGACGAUACGCGCUUCCUGGAU
Molecule: non-coding RNA, 45 nt
Organism: Schistosoma mansoni
Lineage: Eukaryota; Metazoa; Platyhelminthes; Trematoda; Strigeidida; Schistosomatidae
Source: Rfam